This 468-nucleotide ribosomal RNA is filed under the name uncultured bacterium. RNAcentral describes it as "partial 16S ribosomal RNA". It matches the Rfam family "Bacterial small subunit ribosomal RNA", at positions 28 to 507 of the family's 1533-position model. The record is from RNAcentral.
GACGAACGCUGGCGGUGUGCUUAACACAUGCAAGUCGAACGGUAAGGCCCUUUCGGGGGUACACGAGUGGCGAACGGGUGAGUAACACGUGAGUAACCUGCCCUCAUCUCUGGGAUAACAGUCGGAAACGGUUGCUAAUACUGGAUAUGAGCUUGCAAGGCAUCUUUUGGGUUGGAAAGAUUUUUUUUGGUUGGGGAUGGACUCGCGGCCUAUCAGCUUGUUGGUGAGGUAGUGGCUCACCAAGGCUUCGACGGGUAGCCGGCCUGAGAGGGCGACCGGCCACAUUGGGACUGAGAUACGGCCCAAACUCCUACGGGAGGCAGCAGUGGGGAAUAUUGAACAAUGGACGGAAGUCUGAUGCAGCAACGCCGCGUGCGGGAUGACGGCCUUAGGGUUGUAAACCGCUUUCAAUUGUGACGAAGCUUUUUUGUGACGGUAGCAGUAGAAGAAGCACCGGCUAACUACGUG